This 532-nucleotide long non-coding RNA is filed under the name Homo sapiens (human). RNAcentral describes it as "HSALNT0317049". Lineage: Eukaryota; Metazoa; Chordata; Mammalia; Primates; Hominidae. The record is from RNAcentral.
GAAAAAUGAGAUAUAAAAAGAAUGCAUAUUGACACAGCUAGUGUCUGAAAGAGAAAACUGCAUGAGUAAAUUUCAAUAGUGUAUUUGGUAACCGAACCUGAAAGUCCCUUUUAGAAAAAAAGUAACUAUUCUGGAUAUGCUUUUCACCUAGAGAAAACACCAAUAAUGAUCCAUGUGUCACAAGACCAAAGUCAAGGUACCAACAGGGCCAAGUUUAUUUAUGGAGGCUCUACAGGAGAAUCUACUUCCAAGCUCAUGCAUUUUGUUUUUUUGUUCUGGCAAGAUAUGAAGACAAUGAAGAAGCACUCCUUGCCAUCAGGUUGCUUUCAGUCUACAUCAUGGCAUACAGAAAAAAUAUAUGCUUUAUGGAGUAGCAGUCAUGAAGAAAAUAUUUUCCAGUAACUUUGGGUGAGGGAGAUGAAACUGUAACAUUGUGAACUAUGGACCCAGGAUAACAGACUAAAGUCAAAGAAAUAGAUUAAGAAGACUACGCUAAUCUAUAUUUAACAAUGAUUAUUAUUUAUAAAAUGCU